AUUCAGCUAGGAGCAUCUGCACCCCUUUGUGGCAGCAGCUGUUUCGUUAUCACCGCUGAGCUCUUCAUGUGGUGCAGAGCCAGCCCAGGGAGGCGUCUCCUGCUCGCCUCUCUCGCUGUGGACCCAGAACCUGAGUGUCCAGCUGGGUAUCUCUGGCUCUGAAAAGGGGCUUGGAGCAGCCUGCAGGGACAGGGUUGUUUUACCAGACAGGGAAGACACAGCUGGAGGUGCAGCAGCAGUGCCACGGUGCCUUCUUGUAACAUGCUGGGCCAAGCCGCCUCCAGCCACAGCUCCCAUGGGACGUUGGAUAGAGCACAGAGCAGAUCCCCCUGCAUCACCACGGGCUGGGGGGCUCAGCAGUGACACCAGCACAGGCAGAUGUCUCCUCCCAGGCCUGUGCUGUCACCUGUGAACGUGAUGACCAGAAAGCAUCUCAGGCCUCUUUGGACCCCAGACCACAGGCAGGUGCUCCUGGGAGUGUCCAAAGGGACUGCAGGCCACAGCAACCUCUUACACAAAAAUCAUUGCUUUGGGAAGUGUUAUAAAAUUAAAUAUGUA
Long non-coding RNA from Cyanistes caeruleus (blue tit), 558 nucleotides. RefSeq lists it as uncharacterized. The record is from RefSeq and is a predicted model, not a curated record. Lineage: Eukaryota; Metazoa; Chordata; Aves; Passeriformes; Paridae.